This 492-nucleotide ribosomal RNA is filed under the name uncultured bacterium. RNAcentral's name for it is "partial 16S ribosomal RNA". It matches the Rfam family "Bacterial small subunit ribosomal RNA", at positions 29 to 507 of the family's 1533-position model. The record is from RNAcentral.
AGUGAACGCUGGCGGUAGGCCUAACACAUGCAAGUCGAACGGCAGCACAGUAAGAGCUUGCUCUUACGGGGGGCGAGUGGCGGACGGGGGAGGAAAACAUCGAAAUCUACUUUUUCGUGGGGGAGAACGUAGGGAAACUUACGCUAAUACCGCAUACGACCUACGGGUGAAAGCAGGGGAUCUUCGGACCUUGCGCGAUUGAAUGAGCCGAUGUCGGAUUAGAUAGUUGGGGGGGUAAAGGCACACCCAGGCGACGCUCCGUAGCUGGUCGGAGAUGAGGAGAAGCCACCCCACAAUGGAGCCACGGUCCAGACUACUACGGGAGGCAGCAGAGGGGAAUAUUAGACAAUGGGCGCAAGGCUGAUCCAGCCAUGCCGCGUGGGGUAAGAAAGGCUUCGGGUUUGAAAUCCCAUCUGUUGGGAUAGAAAAGCAGAAUGUUAAUACCCAGCUUUUCUGAAGGUACCUAAAGAAUAAGCACCGGCUAACUUCGUG